CGAACUGCGAUAAGUAAUGUGAAUUGCAGAAUUCAGUGAAUCAUCGAGUCUUUGAACGCACAUUGCGCCCCCUGGCAUUCCGGGGGGCAUGCCUGUCCGAGUGUCAUUGCUGCCCUUCAAGCCCGGCUUGUGUGUUGGGUCGUCGUCCCCUCCGGGGGACGGGCCCGAAAGGCAGCGGCGGCACCGCGUCCGGUCCUCGAGCGUAUGGGGCUUUGUCACCCGCUCGAUAAGGACCGGCCGGGCGCCAGCCGGCGUCUCCAACCUUUUUUUCUCAGGUUGACCUCGGAUCAGGUAGGGAUACCCGCUGAACUUAAGC
RNAcentral lists this unclassified non-coding RNA (316 nucleotides) under plant metagenome. RNAcentral describes it as "partial contains 5.8S ribosomal RNA, internal transcribed spacer 2, and large subunit ribosomal RNA". The stretch from base 1 to 106 matches the Rfam family "5.8S ribosomal RNA", at positions 49 to 154 of the family's 154-position model. The record is from RNAcentral.